AAGCGAAACAAACAAGGCCACCCCUUGUUUGUCUGCCUAGCAUGGCGGCUAGGCACUGAUGAGCAGCCAUUA
RNAcentral lists this non-coding RNA (72 nucleotides) under Photobacterium frigidiphilum. Lineage: Bacteria; Pseudomonadati; Pseudomonadota; Gammaproteobacteria; Vibrionales; Vibrionaceae. The record is from RNAcentral.